GGGUUGUGAGGUUAAGCGACUAAGCGUACACGGUGGAUGCCCUGGCAGUCAGAGGCGAUGAAGGACGUGCUAAUCUGCGAUAAGCGUCGGUAAGGUGAUAUGAACCGUUAUAACCGGCGAUUUCCGAAUGGGGAAACCCAGUGUGUUUCGACACACUAUCAUUAACUGAAUCCAUAGGUUAAUGAGGCGAACCGGGGGAACUGAAACAUCUAAGUACCCCGAGGAAAAGAAAUCAACCGAGAUUCCCCCAGUAGCGGCGAGCGAACGGGGAGCAGCCCAGAGCCUGAAUCAGUAUGUGUGUUAGUGGAAGCGUCUGGAAAGGCGCGCGAUACAGGGUGACAGCCCCGUACACAAAAAUGCACAUGCUGUGAGCUCGAUGAGUAGGGCGGGACACGUGGUAUCCUGUCUGAAUAUGGGGGGACCAUCCUCCAAGGCUAAAUACUCCUGACUGACCGAUAGUGAACCAGUACCGUGAGGGAAAGGCGAAAAGAACCCCGGCGAGGGGAGUGAAAAAGAACCUGAAACCGUGUACGUACAAGCAGUGGGAGCACGCUUAGGCGUGUGACUGCGUACCUUUUGUAUAAUGGGUCAGCGACUUAUAUUCUGUAGCAAGGUUAACCGAAUAGGGGAGCCGAAGGGAAACCGAGUCUUAACUGGGCGUUAAGUUGCAGGGUAUAGACCCGAAACCCGGUGAUCUAGCCAUGGGCAGGUUGAAGGUUGGGUAACACUAACUGGAGGACCGAACCGACUAAUGUUGAAAAAUUAGCGGAUGACUUGUGGCUGGGGGUGAAAGGCCAAUCAAACCGGGAGAUAGCUGGUUCUCCCCGAAAGCUAUUUAGGUAGCGCCUCGUGAAUUCAUCUCCGGGGGUAGAGCACUGUUUCGGCAAGGGGGUCAUCCCGACUUACCAACCCGAUGCAAACUGCGAAUACCGGAGAAUGUUAUCACGGGAGACACACGGCGGGUGCUAACGUCCGUCGUGAAGAGGGAAACAACCCAGACCGCCAGCUAAGGUCCCAAAGUCAUGGUUAAGUGGGAAACGAUGUGGGAAGGCCCAGACAGCCAGGAUGUUGGCUUAGAAGCAGCCAUCAUUUAAAGAAAGCGUAAUAGCUCACUGGUCGAGUCGGCCUGCGCGGAAGAUGUAACGGGGCUAAACCAUGCACCGAAGCUGCGGCAGCGACGCUGAUGCGUUGUUGGGUAGGGGAGCGUUCUGUAAGCCUGCGAAGGUGUGCUGUGAGGCAUGCUGGAGGUAUCAGAAGUGCG
RNAcentral lists this ribosomal RNA (1261 nucleotides) under Escherichia coli. Its description in RNAcentral is "partial 23S ribosomal RNA". It matches the Rfam family "Bacterial large subunit ribosomal RNA", at positions 1 to 1292 of the family's 2925-position model. Lineage: Bacteria; Pseudomonadati; Pseudomonadota; Gammaproteobacteria; Enterobacterales; Enterobacteriaceae. The record is from RNAcentral.